CAGUGUUAUUUAUGUAAGUUUAAGAGAAGUUUAUGUAUUAAAUUAUUGAUAUUAAAUAGUUUUAUUAGGCUUAGACUUAAUUUUAGGUCAUUUUGGGGGUUUAGCUCAGUUGGCUAGAGCAUCGGCUUUGCAAGCCGAGGGUCAAGGGUUCGAGUCCCUUAACCUCCAUUGGGCUUAUGCCCUAAAUUGUAAUUAAGUAUGUUUUUAAGUAACUUUGUUAAAGUAAUUGUUGGAAUGUGAAACACAAGAAGUUAAAAUUUCUGGGUUAAGUUGAGAUCUGUUGAUAUUAAGAAAAAUGUCUAGAAGCAAAAGCAAGCUUUCGAUAAAACCCGAAGUUGUUUCGCUAAAGUGCAAGGAUUAAACAGGAUUGUAUUUUUCAGCAGCCUAUUUUAUAAACGAUCUGCAUUUAGUAAAUAGUUUUUAGUUAGGAAAUAAUGUAGAUUACUAAGUGUGAUGUCUGAGAGAAGGACAAGUAUUGUAGCGAGCUUAAAUCCUUAUUAUCGUUGCCAGUAUUUAGUGGUAGGGAUUCGGAUAAGAUUGCCAGUUAUAAGUUGGAGGAAGGCAAAGAUUGCAUUAAAUCGUUAUCGCUCUUAUGUUUUAGGUUACAAGUUUGCAACAAUAACUCAAAAAAGCCAAGCAAAAUACUAUAAAGCAGAUUUCAGUUUGGAUUUGCCCGACACUCAAUGGCAUGAAGUUGUAAUUGUUAGUAAUCGUGU
RNAcentral lists this unclassified non-coding RNA (716 nucleotides) under Borreliella burgdorferi (Lyme disease spirochete). Its description in RNAcentral is "partial 16S-23S ribosomal RNA intergenic spacer". The stretch from base 95 to 168 matches the Rfam family "tRNA". The record is from RNAcentral. Lineage: Bacteria; Pseudomonadati; Spirochaetota; Spirochaetia; Spirochaetales; Borreliaceae.